Molecule: ribosomal RNA, 984 nt
Filed under: Triticum aestivum (bread wheat)
Lineage: Eukaryota; Viridiplantae; Streptophyta; Magnoliopsida; Poales; Poaceae
Description: partial small subunit ribosomal RNA
Source: RNAcentral
AUGAAGAAACCAGAGCACCUGACUGGUUAUGGCCUUAUGGACCCUGCAGAGAAUAAUAUGUCGAAAGAAGCUGACAGUGUGGCAAUAUCAAUAGAAGAAGACGUGCUGCUUGGAGAUUCAUCACGGCCGGAAGAAGCCGAUAGAGUGGCAAUGCCUUCAGGAGAAGGCGUACUGCUCAAAGAUUCAUUGCAAUCUCAGCUGCAAGAGAUCAGUGUUAACCAUGAGAGUAUGUUGAAAGAAGCUGACAUCGUGGCACUAUCGAUUGGAGAAGAGGUGCAUGGCGAUUCAUCGCUGCCGGAAGAAGCUGACAGCAGAGAAAUACCGUCAGGAGAAGGCAUACUGCUUGGAGAUUCGUUGCAGUCUCAGCAGCAAGAGAUCAAUGUUAACCAUGAGAAUACGGAGGAAGAAGCUGACACUGUGGCAAUACAGUUAGGACUUAGGAGAAGGCUUGGAGGUUCAUCCCUGCUAGAAGAAGCUGACAUAGUGGAAAUAUCGAUAGGUGAAAACGUGCUGCUUGGAGAUUCAACGCUGCCGGGAGAAGCUGAGGGAGUGCCAAUGUUGUCAGGAGAAGGCGUACUGCCUGGAGAUUCGUCGCAGACUCAGCAGCAAGAGAUCACUAUCGACCAUGGUCCGCACAUGUCAAUUGAUGAGCUGCUGAAAGUAAUAAAAGGAGCCAAUGGCAUGCCCGUGCUGUUCGUCCCCUCCAGCGACGGGCGGCUGGCGGCAGUAGCUGUGGAUGGCCUUCAGAAUCUUGUGCCUGCCAAUCGCGACAACAAUGUGUCAGGUGAAAAUAAAAAUCAGGAUUUCCGUGCCUGGCUAUUACUCCUGGCGUCACUGGUUGCCACAGUCACCUACACCGCAGGACUCACUCCACCGGGUGGUUUCUGGGCUGCCGACGACAAGGCAAAUGGAUACGUUGCUGGUACCUCAGUUAUGCGCGACAAAUUUAACCGCAGGAUUAUGUUUUGUGAGCUUGGGGACUAG